RNAcentral lists this transfer RNA (72 nucleotides) under Anguilla anguilla (European eel). Its description in RNAcentral is "tRNA-OTHER". Lineage: Eukaryota; Metazoa; Chordata; Actinopteri; Anguilliformes; Anguillidae. The record is from RNAcentral.
AGCAUGGUGGUGAAGGGGUUAGCACUGUUACCUCACAAGAUGGAGGUUCUGGGUUUGAGUCCUGGCUGGCUG